CCAGCAGGGACAGGGUCAUCUUCCAGUUCAGGCCGCCGGUGUCGUCGAUGGAGCUGGUGAUGUUGAGAGUCUGACGGUACCAGAAAUAUAACCUUUUUUUGCAGAGGGAACAAUGAAAAGAAGAGCAGCAGGCACUGUAAGACAACAAGUCACAUCGAGCCUAUCCAGCUUACGUCAGGACAUGAAGGGGCUCCAUGGUGACAAAACCAUACGCAGCCAGAGAGGACGAGCUCUCGCUGACGGACAGCAGGGCGGAGCAGCCUGUCUCCAGUCUAAAAACAAAUGACGUUUGACUCGAUCAAAAACACUGAUCACGUCGUGAGUGGCUAUUAGAGCUACAGCAGCAAACAGAGGAAACAAAGACAGGGACACAGUGUCGUGUUGCACAGUAGUAUUAUUAUCUGGACCGUCAGAAGUGACUGUUGUGCUGCUACUGCCUGCUUUCACUGAUCUUUGAUGUCUAUUCUGAGCAGCAGAUGCACACAACAGAGGAAAUCAAAACGAGUUGGUGGUGAGGAGAUCAAUACAUGGUAAACCAGAGGAUGAUUCUGGUAAUUUUAAAUACACAUUACCCUUUUCUCUGACUCUGAUUUUCUGUGGUUAAAAAUAUGUUCUUGAAUGCAGUAUUUAUGGCAGUUCCUGUUUUAUUUUGAAAUGUGUUCCUCUUGUGUUUAGUGUUAUUUUUACUUCCUGAGUUUUCCCACUUGUGUUGAUUAUCUCAUAUGGUUCACCUGUGCCUUCUUUCACCUGUGUGUAGUUAGUAAUCAGCCCUUGUGUAUUUAAAGCCCAGUGUUUCCCAUA
Long non-coding RNA from Plectropomus leopardus (leopard coralgrouper), 801 nucleotides. RefSeq lists it as uncharacterized. The record is from RefSeq and is a predicted model, not a curated record. Lineage: Eukaryota; Metazoa; Chordata; Actinopteri; Perciformes; Serranidae.